Molecule: ribosomal RNA, 500 nt
Filed under: uncultured Myrionecta
Lineage: Eukaryota; Ciliophora; Litostomatea; Cyclotrichida; Mesodiniidae
Description: bacterial SSU rRNA
Rfam family: Eukaryotic small subunit ribosomal RNA
Source: RNAcentral
ACUUACCAGGUCAAGACAUGGGCGUGAUUGACAGGCUAAUGACUUUUCUCGAUUCCAUGGAUGGUGGUGCAUGGUCGCACUUAGUUGGUGCAGUGAUUUGUCAGGUUUAUUCCGGUAACGAACGAGACCUCGGCCUUGUAAAUAGCUAUGCUGCUUACAGGGACAUUGGCGGCUACGCCAAGGAAGCUCGAGGCAAUUGCAGAUCUGGAAUGCCCUUAGAUGUCCUGGGUCGCACGCGUGCUACAAUGACGCCACGAACGAGCUUGCGUGAUGAAAGUUACGCAUAAUCAGCAGUCGGCGUCUUAAGGGAUAGUCUCUUGUAACUGUGGGACUCCAACUAGGAAUGUCUCGUAAGCACAAGUCAACAUCUUGUGUUGAUUACGUCCCUGCUCUUUGUACACACCGCCCGUCGCUCCUACCGAUCGAGUGUUUAGGUGAAUUUGAUGGACGUAAGGAAGUCAAAUAAACCUGAGCACUAGAGAAGAGAAGUCGACCAUGUU